RNAcentral lists this small nuclear RNA (190 nucleotides) under Cryptosporidium parvum. Lineage: Eukaryota; Apicomplexa; Conoidasida; Eucoccidiorida; Cryptosporidiidae. The record is from RNAcentral.
UCCUUGCUAUUCCAAGACCAAACCAUUCUCUGUAAUCUCUAUUAUGAUUACUGAAUUUGUGAAUGUGAUUUGUUCCAUCCAUAGCAAAUAAUAAGACCUUUAAAGUUCAGAUAUUUGGGGCCGAUUUUCUUCUGAUGAAUAUUAUUGUCUGAAGAAAGUUCCUAUAUUGGACAAAGUCUCUUACUAUUUA